CCCACCCUCUUAUGUCCCCAGUAUGGCACUCUUUUGUGAACUGCUAUGAAGAAUCUCUGUUAGAGGCCAAAGGCUUUGAUCAUUAGGUAAAGAUGAUGGUUUUAAAUUAUGCUUUUCACUCCCAUUGCCUUGUAGACUUUCACAGCUAUUGUUUCCAGUGUAUUUCAGCUGAGUUUCACCCUCAAAACACAGGUGUAUGUUGAACUAUCUUCUUCUUGUGAAUCUUUUGACCAAUCAAUAAAAUAAGACCACGUAAAUAAUGGAUAUGCUACUGGAUAACAUGGUUGCAAGUUUGAAAAACAGACCACUCUACUCAGGAGCUGUUUUGGUGGUGGAGAUGGAAAAGCAGAUCCAGAUAGAAGUAAACAAAAGAACUCUGAAAGGCAGGGAGUUAUAAGAUGGAUGGUUAUUCAGCCAGAGGGGAGAUGGAGUCAUGCCUCUCCUACUUAGGGCUGGGUCCAGGUACUGUUUUGUUUUUUAAUUCCUUUGCAACAUGAAGAUUUAUUUGGUCCACUUGUGGCACCUCCAAUUGGUUAGUUAACUGACUAUAGGAUGACCAUAAAAGAUAGCCAUUAAACUGUGGUUCUAAAGAUUUCUGCGUGGAGGGUCAGGGUUUCAAUAGAGGGCAGAGGACAAGAUUCAGCACCACCUUAUAGUAGAAAGAGCAAAGGUAACUACGAUAAACACCACAGACUAAUGGUCAGAGCUUUCCUGUUUUCUGAGUAUAACAUGAGCUUCCUGGAUAUUCAUUCGACUGACACUAGGCAAAGUUAAAAGUUCUCCCAAAGUUGAUUGAGGCUGAUUUUCUUGCUGCUGUGUUUAGCGAGAGCUCUGAAGAAGUUAUAAUAUUAACAUGAUUAAGAACAAAUCAUGUGGUGUUUUUCACUAGAUUAUUAUGAAGUCCAUGUAUGACCACUACACAUUUAUAAAUUCUAAUUUCUCUUGCUUCCACCAUUUCCACGAGGAUUGUUGCUUUCUCAUGUUGUUAUACCUAGAUCCCUGCACAUAUGUUUAUUGAUCAAAUGAAUAAAUCAUGGGAUAUAGAGCAAAUGGG
RNAcentral lists this long non-coding RNA (1054 nucleotides) under Homo sapiens (human). RNAcentral's name for it is "HSALNT0130317". Lineage: Eukaryota; Metazoa; Chordata; Mammalia; Primates; Hominidae. The record is from RNAcentral.